GCCGAACCGUGCGAACGUUGUUCGGAAUCACUGGGCUUAAAGGGCGCGUAGGCGGGUGACCAAGUCCGGGGUGAAAUCCAUCGGCUCAACCGGAGAACUUCCUUGGAAACUGGUCAUCUCGAGGGAGGUAGGGGUCUGUGGAACUGAUGGUGGAGCGGUGAAAUGCGUUGAUAUCAUCAGGAACGCCGGUGGCGAAAGCGGCGGACUGGACCUUCACUGACGCUGAGGCGCGAAAGCUAGGGGAGCAAACGGG
RNAcentral lists this ribosomal RNA (253 nucleotides) under uncultured bacterium. RNAcentral describes it as "partial 16S ribosomal RNA". It matches the Rfam family "Bacterial small subunit ribosomal RNA", at positions 524 to 776 of the family's 1533-position model. The record is from RNAcentral.